Rattus norvegicus (Norway rat) is the source of this 4819-nucleotide non-coding RNA. NCBI's taxonomy places the organism in Eukaryota, Metazoa, Chordata, Mammalia, Rodentia, Muridae. The record is from RefSeq and is a predicted model, not a curated record.
UAGGGCCCAACAGCAAAGCACUCCCGAACUGAAUUACAUACAAUCUGAGGGACUGAGGUAGACAAAAAAGUCAGAUGAGUGUGUGGGAUGCUUCCGUGAAGAGACCAGAGGGAGCCAAGCACCUCUUUCUCACUAUUCCUAUGUGGUACUACGAAAACCAAGCUUCCUCCAUUACUUAAGUGAAAUAAGGAAAAUUGAGGAAUGGAGAUAGUACCUGUAAGCUAUUUGAGAUUCUUUCCAUAGCUGAGCAUGGUUAUGCAUGCCUUUAAUUCCAGCACUUGGGGGACAGAGGCAGACUGAUCUCUGUGAGUUUGAGGCCAACCUGGUCUACAUAGUGAAUGAAUGCAGGAUUAUGUAGAAAGUGUAAAGACCCUGUCAAAAAAAAAAAUAACCUUUCCAUGAAAAUGUUACCUGAGCUUCAGAUAACUGUCUUAGUCAGUGUUCUAUUGCUCUGAAGACACACUAUAUGACCACAGCAAUUCUUAUAGAAGAAAACAUUUAUUUGGGGUUAGCUUACAGUUUCCAAGGUCUAAUCCAUUAUCAUGGUGGGGAGCAUGGCAACAUGCAGGCAGACAUAUUCCUAGAGAAGUAGUUGAGAGUUCUACAUCUGGAUCUAGAGGCAGCAGAAAAAGAUUGACUUGGGCUUCUAAAACCCCAAAGCACAUCCAUAUUGACUCACUUCCUUCAACAAGGCCACAUCUACUCCAAGGCCACACCUUCUAAUCCCUCUUGAGUAGUGUCACUCCCUGAUGACCAAGCACUCAAAUACAUGAGCCUGAGUGAUGGGGGUGGGGAAUUCAUAUUCAAACAACCACAUUCCAUUCCCUGGCCCCCAUAGGCUUGGGGCCAUAUCAUAAUGCAAAAAACAAAAAAUGCAUUCAGUCCAACUUCAAAAGUCCCCAUAGUCUGCAACAGCCUUAACACUGUUUCAAAGUCCAAAGUUCAAAGUCUCUUGGGAGAUAGUCACAAGGAGAAAAAUUGUAACCCACCUGUGAAAUCAAAAUUAAAAAAAACAGACCACAUACUUUCAACAUACAAUGGCGCAUGAUAUAUGUUACCAUCCCAAAAACAGGGACAAAGAGCAUGGUGAGGAAAUUCUGGACCAGAGAAAGACUGACAACUAGCAGGGUCAACACCAAACUGUAUCUCCGUGUCUGAUGUCCAAGUACCCUUCAGAUCUCCAACUCCUUCCAACUGUGUUGACUGCCACAUCCUCUUCCUCUCUCCCUCCCUCUCCCUGUUCUCCUCUCCCUCUUCUCCUCUCCCUCUACCCUCCCCUCCCUCCCUCUCCCUCCCCCUUCCCUCUCUUUACCUCUCUCUCUCUCUGUCCCUCCCUCUCCUUCCCUCUCCCUCUCCCUCUCCCUCCCCCUCCCCUCCCCUUUCCCUUCUCCUUCCCUCCCCCUACCUCAUCUCUCUGUCUCUCUGUCUCUCUCUCUCUCCCUGUCCCUCCCUCCCUCUCCUUCCCUCUCCCUCCCCCUCCCCUUUCCCUUCUCCUUCCCUCCCCCUACCUCAUCUCUCUGUCUCUGUCUCUUCCUCUCUCCCUCCCUCUCCCUCUUCCCCUCUCCCUCUGCCCUCCCCUCCUUCCCUCCCCCAGCCCCCUUCCCUCCCUUUACCUCUCUCUCUCUCCCUCCCUCCCUCUGCCCUCCCCUCCUUCCCUCCCCCUCCCCCUUCCCUCCCUUUACCUCUCUCUCUCUGUCCCUCCCUCCCUCUCCUUCCCUCUCCCUCCCCCUCCCCUUUCCCUUCUCCUUCCCUCCCCCUACCUCAUCUCUCUGUCUCUGUCUCUGUCUCUCUCCCUCUCCCCCCUCCACGCCUCUCAGGAUGAUCCCACACUGGGUUUACAGUUCUCCUCAGCAAGUGUCUCACAAUUCUGCAUCUCCAACACCUUUAGGUCUUUUAACACAAUCCAGGCUUCACCUCCACAGCUUCACAUAAUGGCCUCUCUGGGGAAUUCAGGACACCCCAAAACACAGCUGGCCUCAGUGGCUUUCCUGUCAACUCCAAACUCAGAACCACCUGGCUCAAGCUACCACAUAGUAAGUAUGGUAGUUAGACGUUGUGUGCAGCCCAUAUCAUGAGGGUUGGCAUGCUGACCCCUGGGAGUUUGAGGCCAACCUGGUCUACUUAGUGAACGAAUGCAGGAAUAAGUAGAAAGGGUGGAAACCCUGUCUAAAAAAAAACUGGCGAGGAAGACAGAUCCAGUGAGACAAUAUCAAUGGACUAGGAGAGCUUCGACAAACUUUUACCUAAUGUUUAAACAGGAGUAGAGUCUGUGUAUUCCAAACUGUGAUUGAUAGAGAUGUGCUGAGUUGUGGGCACUUGAUGUUAUUUUCUCAUUAAAUACUAAGUCGCUCAACGUUGUGAUGGGAAACCCCUUCUUUCGGAAUCAAGAACAGAUAUUUGAUACUGCUGGCUUUUGACUUAGUAAACAAUUCAGGCUUAGCUCUUGGAGUAUCCACUUCCCUAAAGGGCUCAGCUCAGACUCUGUGUACUUCCUACAAACCCACACCACCCAGAGCCUUUGGCUCAGUCAAGGGAGGCCAAUGAAGGGUAAAAGUCAACUGGGGCCUUCAGUAAAACCACUGGAAAGGAGACACUGGCAGCCAUGAGCAGCUGCCAGUGCAAAGAACCUCAUUCCUCACUCCUCACUCAAAGAAACAAACUCACCUCAUCAUACAACCCCCUAGCCCCCAAAUACAAAUUUGUUAACAUGACAACCUUAAAAAAGUGAAAGAAACGUUUUGGUCCCUUUUCAAAAAAGGGAACCACAGAACUGGGUAUGGUAGCAUUGGGUAGACUGUGGCAGGAAGAACAUGAAUUUGAGGCCAAGCUGGGCUAUACAGGGAGAGGGAUUUUUCUGUUUUGUUUUUCCUUUAAGAAAACUGUAGAAGAUGAAGAAGGUGUUGGGGAGAAAGAGGGAGGAAAAGAAAGAGGUGGAAGAGGAAAAAGAAGAAAUCAAACAUGAAUUCCAACAGUCAUGGUCUUAGCAGAUUAAAAAAAGUAUUUUUGCAACUUUGGUCAUACUCUUAAUCAUACUCUUCCUGUUUUCCCUUCUUAGCACAUUUGUAAAAGCAGCACAUGCUAGGCCGUGCAGUUCUCAGAGCUGAUGAACAGUUGACUGCCUAGGAUUUGACUUUGAAUUAAAAAAAGAAGAAGAAGCAGCAGCAAAAUCUGAAGUAACUUUGCGAAAUAAUCUCAUUUAAAAACUGCUUUUAAAGUUCUCAUAGGAAUGAACAACUGUAAGGCACAGUUAGAAAAGAGGGCCUAGUGUAUUUCCUGCAUGUCCUCUGGGGAUCUUCAGAAGACUCUACAAACUGAAAUUAUAGAAACAAGUGAGUGCAUUUCUGUUGGCUUUUACCCAAGUUGAGGCCUUAGACCCAUUCUGGGCCUUCUGCCUCUUGUCAAGAAGUGUAGCUAACAGAGAUUCCUGGAACGAUAUUGUAACUAUCUGAACUGAGAUAAGCAAAGGCCAGUAACUAGGGCUCAAGUAUUCCUCAGGCCCUGAGGCAACAGGAACUCUCUGAUGCGCACUCCUGUCUGCUGACCACGUGCUCAUCUUCAGUUUUAAGAUCCAUUAUUUUUAACUCGUUGCCAAGGUUAAGCAGUUGUGACUGAGAUGAGAUUCUAAAGUCGAUCUAGAUGCUUAUGUAAAGUCUCAUUCUGAAUCAAUCAAGCCCGACAGUUCUAGGAAACAGAAGACUGCUCUCUACCAUCCUGAAUUUUAACCUGUAUUUUCUCUGUCAGUGUUAUAAGUAACCCCUUCUUAUAUAUUCAUGGUAUAAAGUAAAGGUUUCUAUGUCAUUUCUGUCCUUGUGUUAAUGCACUUUGACCAUAUCCACUGCUUUAUUAGUCUUUCUCUUUGUAUUUUUUUUUUCCACAUGAUCUUCAAGUUAAUUUUGAAGAUUAAAGUGUUCAGAGUGGUGGAGCAGGAUCAGGAUGCUAGCAUUCACUGAGGCUAAGGCAGAAGGAUCUUGAGUUGGGCUAGCCUGAGCUACAUGACAAAGCCCUGUCUAAAAAUAAAACCGUUAACCACAGAGAUUUGAGAGCAGAAACUCCAAUGAUUAUGUUAUUUUAUUCACGGAUUUAUUUGACACAAUCAGUUGGCAAUGUCUUAUCUUGCACCUGCCUUGAGACUGCUCCAUCGUGUCUGUCUCUUCUUCCAAGAAGAAAUAAUAAACGUUGAUCAUUAACCAACGGAAAUUACAUCCCUUACUGGAAUCUGCCUCGCUUAAAUGCAGACUUCCUGGCCCAGCCUUGGUUUCCCAUCAGAAUUUGAAAAAAAAAAAGCCCUCCAGUAGACUGGCAAAACAGUGCAGAAGCCGCAAGAGUCUACAUCAUUUUAUUGUCAGAGAAAAAAAGACCUGCCUCCCCUGAAAUUAAGGACAGAGUCCAGACAAAUAAACGGUUUCCCUGGAAUGACUGUGAGAAUUGGUAUGCGGGCUCCCAAGCAGGGAGGACAACUAGAACAUCCUUGGCAACAUCUUCAGUCACUCUGUUCUCUUCCCUCUGUUCUCGCUCCAUUGCUCUUCUCCCAAAACAGACUUCCACUCCUAUCUCUCUUCACACCUGCCUAUUCCCAUCCCAACCUCCUUGAACUUCGGAAAUUAGUGUCCGGGUAUCCACCGGGUCCUCUGAAGGACCCCCACGGAACUGUUGCCCCUGUCACCACCCAACACUAGGUGUUGGGCAAAGAAAGGCUGGUUAGCCAGAAGUGACGGGUGAGGAAGCUACUGGACGGCUGUGCGCAGGGUGGCAACAUCCCGAGGAGAAGAGACAAGGCCCAAGAGUCCUGAUCUAGCUGUGGCCACUGGAAGACUCUCAG